GAGGUCUGAAUGGAAUGGAAUGCAAUGGAAAGGAAGCACAUGUAUUAAACAAAAAACUCUUAAGAGGGAAAAACUAUAAAGUGGUUCUCAGCAGUAGGUGGGGAUUUGGAGUAGGGCCAUCUGUGUUCAUUUGUGGCCAUAUGUGUCUAUUUUAAAAGUCAUAGGGUUUGAACUGGAUCUGUGGCUGACUUGCCCAAUUCUGGCUUGGGAGUAAUACUUUUCAUUAUUUUCUAUUCAUUUGUGCCUUAAUAUAAUUGUUAAACACAGGGGAAAAAUGGCCACUAAGAAUCUCAUUUUGUUUUUGAAACCUCAACAUUAAAUAAAACCAAGAAACACAAAUUUUUAUAUGUAUUGGAUAUUACAGUUAGGAAAAAAUAUUUUUGUAUGAAGGAGCAAAUUUACAUUUGGUCCUCUAUUUUCCUUAGCUUCUGUAACCACAGCUUCUUUUUUAACCUUAGAAAUAUUGGUGGAGAGAUUGAUUUGCACCUACAGAUCAAUUGCUAUCCUUCACAACUGCAAUCAAG
Molecule: long non-coding RNA, 524 nt
Filed under: Homo sapiens (human)
Lineage: Eukaryota; Metazoa; Chordata; Mammalia; Primates; Hominidae
Description: HSALNT0121469
Source: RNAcentral